UGGGGAAUAUUGCACAAUGGGCGAAAGCCUGAUGCAGCGACGCCGCGUGAGGGAUGACGGCCUCCGGUUUGUAAACUUUUUUCAGCAGGGACGAAGCGCAAGUGACGGUACCUGCAGAAGAAGCACCGCCUAACUACGUGCCAGCAGCCGCGGUAAUACGUAGGGUGCAAGCGUUGUCUGGAAUUACUGGGCGUAAAGAGUUCGUAGGCGGUUUGUCGCGUCGUUUGUCAAAACCAGCAGCUCAACUGCUGGCUUGCAGGCGAUACGGGCAGACUUGAGUACUGCAGGGGAGACUGGAAUUCCUGGUGUAGCGGUGAAAUGCGCAGAUAUCAGGAGGAACACCGGUGUCGAAGGCGGGUCUCUGGGCAGUAACUGACGCUGAGGAACGAAAGCGUGGGUAGCGAACAGG
This 409-nucleotide ribosomal RNA is filed under the name bacterium. RNAcentral's name for it is "partial 16S ribosomal RNA". It matches the Rfam family "Bacterial small subunit ribosomal RNA", at positions 355 to 776 of the family's 1533-position model. The record is from RNAcentral.